CUCGGGGUCGGCGCCAGAGGCCCAGAGGCUCUGGCCUGAUGGAGGCGAGGCAGGCUCUGUGGCCUCCCCGGGUCAGUCCGAGUUUAGUCUGCGGAGGCGACGGCGGGGGAGCUGGCCGGGGCCAAGAUGGACCCCAAACCAGACAGGCGCUUUCCUCCCCCCCCACCCCCACCCACUCGCGCCUUAGUCCCUGCCCAUAUUGCCCGUCUCCGGUAGGACUAUCUGCCCGGCUUCUGUCUGCUGCCAACCUUGCCCGAAACCUAGACCCCAGACUUGGGGGACUCAGUUCAUUCUAUGGAAUUGGAACGACCUUGGGAAUAAUCUCAGGAUGACGUGCUGCCCAGUACAGCUCCUGGGAAGCUCUAGGAUGUGGCUUUAAACUGGAAAGACUCUUGGGAGCUGGGUUUGAUAUGGCAUGGUCUCUGAGGCAUCCCUAGUCUGAAGUUCUUCCAGGAAGUCUGCCAAGCUAAACCACAAAGGAUGAGCAGCUCAGAGCUUAGCGAGUGCUUCCUAGCUGCCCCCCAGGAGUGCUGGGAACGAGCCUGGAGAGCUUCCCAGAAGACCUAAAAGGCCGCAGCAGCAUCGCUUACAGAAACGGCCCUGGAUAACGUUCAUUUUGGAUUCAUCUUCUGGCUUUGUGAUCU
Leopardus geoffroyi (Geoffroy's cat) is the source of this 644-nucleotide long non-coding RNA. RefSeq lists it as uncharacterized. NCBI's taxonomy places the organism in Eukaryota, Metazoa, Chordata, Mammalia, Carnivora, Felidae. The record is from RefSeq and is a predicted model, not a curated record. The transcript is spliced from 4 exons.